ACUUGAGUAAAUAAGGUUUUGGGGUAUUUGACAAAUUAUGAUUUAGGGUUACUUGACAAAGUAGCAAAUAGGGGUAUUUGACUAAUUAAUGUUCACAGGUACUUGACUAAUUAGGAUUACUUGACUAAGUAGGGUUUAGGGGUAUUUCAAAAAUUAGGGGUUUAGAGUUACUUGACAAAUUGGGGUUUAUGUGUAUUUGACUAAUUAGGGUUUAAGUGUACUUGACUAAAUAGGGCGUUGUGUUACUUAACUAAUUAGGGAUUAUGGUUAUUUGAUAAAUUACACUUUAGGGUUACUUUGUUAGUUAUAGUUUAGGGGUAUUUGACAGAUUAGGGUUUAAGGCUACUUGGCUUAUUGGGUUUUAAUGAGUAUUUGACAAAUAAGGAUUUAGGGUUUCUUUACAAAUAAGCUUUUAGGCGUAUUUGACUAAUGAGGGUUUAUGGAC
RNAcentral lists this long non-coding RNA (445 nucleotides) under Glycine max (soybean). RNAcentral's name for it is "long non-coding RNA (GMAX_LNC000002)". Lineage: Eukaryota; Viridiplantae; Streptophyta; Magnoliopsida; Fabales; Fabaceae. The record is from RNAcentral.